UCGGUUGCCUAUUUGUUCAUAUUAUGUUAUUUACUAUGAUUCGUUUUUGUCUUUAUACUAGAACUGUUUGAAUUUAAAGCACAAACAGUAAAACAUUAAGGUUAUACGUGGUACACAGCGGUAAACAUGAGGUUAAAAAUAUGCGAAGUAACAUUCAAACCGGGCUGUUAAAAGAAUCAAUUCGAUGUUUAAAUUUUUAAAAACAAAACUUUAAAGAAGCCAAGAUGAGACGUUAUUUGCUUAAAACAAACAAAACAACAGUAACUCGUGUGUUUGAAAUGUUAGCAGCUAGCAAGUGUCUCUCUGCUAUUUUAAAUGAUACAGACGAUCUUUUGUUGUUUUAAAAGCUCAUUCAGUUCUGGUAGAUGCUGCUUAUUUUUCAAGACUGUUUUAAUAGCUUUAUAUUGAUUUGUAACAAAGCCAGCUUCACUUUAAGAGAACCUAGAUGCUAAUUGUAAAGAAGCUUGGAGUCAUAAUAUAUUUAAACGUUAUAUGUUUGCUGUUCUUCAUCUUUUUAAAUAUGAAGUCUAUACAUGUUUGUGUUUACAGAGGUCAUGUACACUGUGGUCAACUUUGUGGACGAUGAAGAGGUUUCUGGGUAAAGCUGAUAGAAAUAUAAUGAAGUAACAGUGAAAGCUAAAACAUCAGACUGAUCCAGACACUGAAGAAAUUGAUGUCACUGCAAUCUGGCCAAAAUGAUACAACUAUAUUGAAGUAACCUACUGUAAUGAAGCUGCAGAACAACACAGAGACUCUGAGGACAUCAACACAGAAAAUUAAGGCUCCAAAGAGAUGUCUGUCCAGAUGAGGGUGCAUCAACGUUACCUUUGCUGACAAGUAUAUGCUUUACAAUGUAAAACCUAACAGUUAACUUAACUCAUACCAUUUAAGGAAAUCGGUUGCCUUAACCCAUUAAGUUUAAAAAAAACAUACAUUUGAGUACUGUGAACUUAAGUCUUGUGCAAUAAUGCACUUAUAUUUAGUUAGUGUGAACUUAAAUAUAAGUGCAUAACUGCAUGUGACUCAAUUUGUUUAAGUUCACAGUACUCAAAUCUAUGUGUUUUAAAACUUAAAUGGUUUAAUGCAACCGGUUUUCUUAAAUGGUUUGAGUUUAGUUAACUUUUAGGUUUUACAGUGAGAAAUUCUUGAAUAAUUCCAAGACAGAGCUCUGCAAUUGUAUCUACACUGCAAAAAAUCAGUUUCUAACUUAGGAUUUUUAUCUUGUUUUUAGUAGAAAAACGAAAAAUUCUUAAAUCAAGAUGUAUUUUCUUGAUGAGCAAAAUUACCUAAGAAAAUGUCUAGUUUUUAGACAAAAAUAUACAAUUUAAGUAAAUUUGUGCC
Molecule: non-coding RNA, 1341 nt
Organism: Paramisgurnus dabryanus
Lineage: Eukaryota; Metazoa; Chordata; Actinopteri; Cypriniformes; Cobitidae
Source: RefSeq, a predicted model, not a curated record